This 483-nucleotide ribosomal RNA is filed under the name uncultured bacterium. RNAcentral's name for it is "partial 16S ribosomal RNA". It matches the Rfam family "Bacterial small subunit ribosomal RNA", at positions 30 to 507 of the family's 1533-position model. The record is from RNAcentral.
AUUGAACGCUGGCGGCAGGCCUAACACAUGCAAGUCGAGCGGAUGAAGGGUGCUUGCUCCUGGAUUCAGCGGCGGACGGGUGAGUAAUGCCUAGGAAUCUGCCUGGUAGUGGGGAUAACGUCCGGAAACGGGCGCUAAUUCCGCAUACGUCCUGAGGGAGAAAGUGUGGGAUCUUCGGACCUCACGCUAUCAAUUGAGCCUAGGUCGGAUUAGCUAGUUGGUGGGGUAAAGGCCUACCAAGGCGACGAUCCGUAACUGGUCUGAGAGGAUGAUCAGUCACACUGGAACUGAGACACGGUCCAGACUCCUACGGGAGGCAGCAGUGGGGAAUAGUGGACAAUGGGCGAAAGCCUGAUCCAGCCAGGCCGCGUGUGUGAAGAAGGUCUUCGGAUUGUAAAGCACUUUAAGUGGGGAGGAAGGGCAGUAAGUUAAUACCUUGCUGUUUUGACGUUACCAACAGAAGAAGCACCGGCUAACUUCGUG